This 253-nucleotide ribosomal RNA is filed under the name uncultured bacterium. RNAcentral describes it as "partial 16S ribosomal RNA". It matches the Rfam family "Bacterial small subunit ribosomal RNA", at positions 524 to 776 of the family's 1533-position model. The record is from RNAcentral.
UACAGGGGGGGCAAGCGUUGUUCGGAAUUACUGGGCGUAAAGCGUACGCAGGCGGCUUUGCAAGACAGGUGUGAAAUCCCCGGGCCUAACCUGGGAACUGCAUUUGUGACUGCAUGGCUAGAGUUUGUCAGAGGGGGGUGGAAUUCCACGUGUAGCAGUGAAAUGCGUAGAUAUGUGGAGGAACACCGAUGGCGAAGGCAGCCCCCUGGGAUGUGACUGACGCUCAUGUACGAAAGCGUGGGGAGCAAACAGG